AAAGCCUGACCCAGCAACGCCGCGUGAAGGAUGAAGUAUUUCGGUAUGUAAACUUCGAAAGAAUGGGAAGAAUAAAUGACGGUACCAUUUAUAAGCUCCGGCUAACUACGUGCCAGCAGCCGCGGUAAUACGUAGGGAGCAAGCGUUGUUCGGAUUUACUGGGCGUAAAGGGCGCGUAGGCGGCGCGGUAAGUCACUUGUGAAAUCUCUGAGCUUAACUCAGAACGGCCAAGUGAUACUGCAGUGCUAGAGUGCAGAAAGGGCAAUCGGAAUUCUUGGUGUAGCGGUGAAAUGCGUAGAUAUCAAGAGGAACACCUGAGGCGAAGGCGGGUUGCUAGGCUGACACUGACGCUGAGGCGCGAAAGCCAGGGGAGCAAACGGGAUUAGAUACCCCGGUAGUCCUGGCCCUAAACGAUGAAUACUUGGUGUCUGGAGUCAUUAAUGCUCCGGGUGCCGUCGCUAACGUUUUAAGUAUUCCGCCUGGGGAGUACGCUCGCAAGAGUG
Molecule: ribosomal RNA, 503 nt
Filed under: uncultured Acidobacteriota bacterium
Lineage: Bacteria; Pseudomonadati; Acidobacteriota
Description: bacterial SSU rRNA
Rfam family: Bacterial small subunit ribosomal RNA
Source: RNAcentral